UUAUCUUUGUUCAGUAUUGGUGUCGCUCUGAAAUAAAAUCAGCGCGAUGAAAAGGGAAUGCGGUGUGAAUCCGCGACAGUACCCGCUGCUGUGAUGCCCGAUCGUUCUAACGAUGAUGGCUUUAUGAUAACCUGCCACUGUCCCGAGGACUCGGGAUGGGAAGGCUUCAUAAGGCCGGGACAAGUCAGAAGACCUGCCAGACAAACCAUGUUCAA
RNAcentral lists this non-coding RNA (215 nucleotides) under Bacteroidota bacterium. The record is from RNAcentral. Lineage: Bacteria; Pseudomonadati; Bacteroidota.